Cinara cedri is the source of this 871-nucleotide non-coding RNA. The record is from the annotation of a GenBank genome assembly. Lineage: Eukaryota; Metazoa; Arthropoda; Insecta; Hemiptera; Aphididae.
CACAAAUUCUGAUUUUAUCAUUAUCUCCUUGAAGUUAUACCUAGGUAAAAUUUGUUUUUAGAAAAUACGCUAACUUAAAAAUCGGAGUUAGAUCUCUGGUAGAAAAGUUGUUCACAGAUAAAACCAAUAAAUACGUUCCUCGUUUCGCUCAGAAUCCAAAAAAUACGUUUUACAUUUAGCUAAAAUAUAUUAACGGCUUUACUUGUGAGUUAUAAUCAUAAUGAGAAAAAAUAAGUCUGACACACUUUGCACCGUGGAUUGGUCACUUUUGCUGGUUGGUAGUUGGAAAAUUAGGAUGUAUACUGUGUAACGUAAUUUGUUUUAUUCAUUUAAUCAUAUAACGAUAAAUCAUUAAAAAUUAAGAUCCUGGAACAAAAUAGUAUCGGUUGUGUUUGUCUCUUGUUGCCAAUGUAACCCGGAAAUCAACGGAAAAAAAAAAAACCAAAAAGAAAAAAAAAGUGCGAAUCUUUGAACCGUUGAAAAUGUCGAUAAAUACUAACAAUAAUAAUGCCGGAAAUUAUCUUUCUUUUAAGGGGGCUCCAUGAAAAAAUCGGGACAUUUUUACUUAACGAAAAAGUGUUUUCCGGGAAGAAAACAUCUUUAUAAAACUCACAACUUAUUUUCAUUCGUUGUGGAUAGAAUUCAAAAUAAUGCUAUAUAUUAUUGUUUUAUACUAAUAAAACAGAAUGCUAAUUUAAGUUAGGUACUUAUAAUUUAUAAUGAAAAAUGUGCAAAAUCGAUUCUCUUUAACUGCGCACUGACAAAUUUUUAACGUACAUCUACGCAAUAAGUUUUGUAAACAAUAUUUUAAGAAGAACGAAAUAUAUUAUUAUUUUCGCUAGGAAAAAUGUUUGUAUAAAAAAAAAAAAAA